GCCCGGCUAGCUCAGUCGGUAGAGCGUUGGACUCUUAAUCCAACGGGUCGUGGGUUCGAGCCCCACGAUUGGGCG
This is a non-coding RNA of Ciona savignyi (Pacific transparent sea squirt), 75 nucleotides long. Lineage: Eukaryota; Metazoa; Chordata; Ascidiacea; Phlebobranchia; Cionidae. The record is from Rfam.